AUGGAAGUGAUGAUUCUUUCCCCAACUGCUCGACUUUGAUGAUAAUCCAAGCCAGAAAUCUGAUCAAU
Molecule: small nucleolar RNA, 68 nt
Organism: Macadamia integrifolia
Lineage: Eukaryota; Viridiplantae; Streptophyta; Magnoliopsida; Proteales; Proteaceae
Product: small nucleolar RNA Z103
Exons: 1
Source: RefSeq, a predicted model, not a curated record